GACGAACGCUGGCGGCGUGCUUAACACAUGCAAGUCGAACGGAAAGGCCCUGCUUUUGUGGGGUGCUCGAGUGGCGAACUGGUGAGUAACACGUGAGUAACCUGCCCUUGACUUUGGGAUAACUUCAUGAAACUGGGGCUAAUACCGGAUAGGAGCUCCUGCUGCAUGGUGGGGGUGGGAAAGUUUCGGCGGUUGGGGAUGGACUCGCGGCUUAUCAGCUUGUUGGUGGGGUAGUGGCAUACCAAGGCUUUGACGGGUAGCCGGCCUGAGAGGGUGACCGGAUACAUUGGGACUGAGCUACGGCCCAGACUAGUACGGGAGGCAGCAGUGGAGAAUAUUGCACAAUGGGCGGAAGCAUGAUGCAGCAACGCCGCGUGCGGGAUGACGGCCUUCGGUUUGUAUACCGCUUUCGCCUGUGACGAAGCGUGAGUGACGGUAAUGGGUAAAGAAGCACCGGCUAACUACGUG
This 468-nucleotide ribosomal RNA is filed under the name uncultured bacterium. RNAcentral's name for it is "partial 16S ribosomal RNA". It matches the Rfam family "Bacterial small subunit ribosomal RNA", at positions 28 to 507 of the family's 1533-position model. The record is from RNAcentral.